GAGUGGCGAACUGGUGAGUAACACGUGGGAAAUCUGCCCAGAAGCAGGGGAUAACACUUGGAAACAGGUGCUAAUACCGUAUAACAACAAAAUCCGCAUGGAUUUUGUUUGAAAGGUGGCUUCGGCUAUCACUUCUGGAUGAUCCCGCGGCGUAUUAGUUAGUUGGUGAGGUAAAGGCCCACCAAGACGAUGAUACGUAGCCGACCUGAGAGGGUAAUCGGCCACAUUGGGACUGAGACACGGCCCAAACUCCUACGGGAGGCAGCAGUAGGGAAUCUUCCACAAUGGACGAAAGUCUGAUGGAGCAAUGCCGCGUGAGUGAAGAAGGGUUUCGGCUCGUAAAACUCUGUUGUUAAAGAAGAACACCUUUGAGAGUAACUGUUCAAGGGUUGACGGUAUUUAACCAGAAAGCCACGGCUAACUACGUGCCAGCAGCCGCGGUAAUACGUAGGUGGCAAGCGUUGUCCGGAUUUAUUGGGCGUAAAGCGAGCGCAGGCGGUUUUUUAAGUCUGAUGUGAAAGCCUUCGGCUUAACCGGAGAAGUGCAUCGGAAACUGGGAGACUUGAGUGCAGAAGAGGACAGUGGAACUCCAUGUGUAGCGGUGGAAUGCGUAGAUAUAUGGAAGA
Molecule: ribosomal RNA, 626 nt
Filed under: Levilactobacillus brevis
Lineage: Bacteria; Bacillati; Bacillota; Bacilli; Lactobacillales; Lactobacillaceae
Description: bacterial SSU rRNA
Rfam family: Bacterial small subunit ribosomal RNA
Source: RNAcentral